Molecule: non-coding RNA, 185 nt
Filed under: unclassified sequences
Description: DUF2800 RNA
Rfam family: DUF2800 RNA (bases 28-185)
About the family: Actinobacteria, Firmicutes, Synergistetes (1 example). Terminator (Clostridia)
Source: RNAcentral
GUCCUGAUCAAGACAUUAAACUGCUCACCGCCUGGCGCCGCAUCACCUGAUCACUGAUGGCUCAACGGUAUCUGGCGGUACAACUCAAUAUUACAGCUGCCUUUUGAGCGGGUUAGCUGCAAUCCGAAACGGAGAGCUCCGUUUGGACUGCGGUUAGGUUUUUACACCCAUUUUGUGGCAGCGCC